ACGUAGGGUGCAAGCGUUAAUCGGAAUUACUGGGCGUAAAGCGUGCGCAGGCGGCUUUGUAAGACAGAUGUGAAAUCCCCGGGCUUAACCUGGGAAUGGCGUUUGAGACUGCAAGGCUGGAGUUUGGCAGAGGGGGGUAGAAUUCCAGGUGCAGCAGUGAAAUGCGUAGAUAUCAGGAGGAAUACCGAUGGCGAAGGCAGCCCCCUGGGUUAUAACUGACGCUCAUGCACGAAAGCGUGGGGAGCAAACAGGA
Molecule: ribosomal RNA, 253 nt
Filed under: uncultured prokaryote
Description: partial 16S ribosomal RNA
Rfam family: Bacterial small subunit ribosomal RNA
Source: RNAcentral